This 253-nucleotide ribosomal RNA is filed under the name uncultured bacterium. RNAcentral describes it as "partial 16S ribosomal RNA". It matches the Rfam family "Bacterial small subunit ribosomal RNA", at positions 524 to 776 of the family's 1533-position model. The record is from RNAcentral.
UACGUAGGGGGCAAGCGUUGUCCGGAUUUAUUGGGCGUAAAGAGCGUGUAGGCGGCCAGGUAGGUCCGUUGUGAAAACUCGAGGCUCAACCUCGAGACGCCGAUGGAAACCAUCUGGCUAGAGUCCGGAAGAGGAGAGUGGAAUUCCCGGUGUAGCGGUGAAAUGCGCAGAUAUCGGGAAGAACACCUAUUGCGAAGGCAGCUCGCUGGGACGUAACUGACGCUGAGACGCGAAAGCGUGGGGAGCAAACAGG